GGAGGAUCCAAGCGUUAUCCGGAAUCAUUGGGUUUAAAGGGUCCGUAGGCGGUCUAGUAAGUCAGUGGUGAAAGCCCAUCGCUCAACGGUGGAACGGCCAUUGAUACUGCUAGACUUGAAUUAUUAGGAAGUAACUAGAAUAUGUAGUGUAGCGGUGAAAUGCUUAGAGAUUACAUGGAAUACCAAUUGCGAAGGCAGGUUACUACUAAUGGAUUGACGCUGAUGGACGAAAGCGUGGGUAGCGAACAGGAUUAGAUACCCUGGUAGUCCACGCCGUAAACGAUGGAUACUAGCUGUUGGGAGCGAUCUCAGUGGCUAAGCGAAAGUGAUAAGUAUCCCACCUGGGGAGUACGUUC
RNAcentral lists this ribosomal RNA (356 nucleotides) under uncultured organism. RNAcentral describes it as "bacterial SSU rRNA". It matches the Rfam family "Bacterial small subunit ribosomal RNA", at positions 527 to 887 of the family's 1533-position model. The record is from RNAcentral.